GGGGGACAACACCAACCUUGGAGCGUAGCUAUGAAAAGAAGGAGGGGCGAGCAGUUGUGAGAGGAGAAGAGGAGGGGCAAACAACGGCUACCAUGAGUCGGAGAGGAGGCGAGCAGGUGGUGGCUAUGAUAGUCGAAUCGGAGUCGCAGAUGAAAGGAGAAGGCGUGUGAUGGCGGCUAGCAGUUAGACUAGUUAGGGUCUAUGGUUUUUAUUUUUUAGUGGAAGGGUCUAGGGUAGGAGCCCAAGUACGGCCU
This 254-nucleotide long non-coding RNA is filed under the name Sorghum bicolor (sorghum). RNAcentral describes it as "long non-coding RNA (SBIC_LNC015332)". The record is from RNAcentral. Lineage: Eukaryota; Viridiplantae; Streptophyta; Magnoliopsida; Poales; Poaceae.